UCUGACACAGGUGCUGCAUGGCUGUCGUCAGCUCGUGUCGUGAGAUGUUGGGUUAAGUCCCGUACGAGCGCAACCCUUGUCCUUAGUUACCAGCACGUUAUGGUGGGCACUCUAAGGAGACUGCCGGUGACAAACCGAGGGAAGGUGGGGAUGGCGUCAAGUCAUCAUGGCCCUUACGGCCUGGGCUACACACGUGCUACAAUGGUCGGUACAAAGGGUUGCCAAGCCGCGAGGUGGAGCUAAUCCCAUAAAACCGAUCGUAGUCCGGAUCGCAGUCUGCAACUCGACUGCGUGAAGUCGGAAUCGCUAGUAAUCGUGAAUCAGAAUGUCACGGUGAAUACGUUCCCGGGCCUU
RNAcentral lists this ribosomal RNA (354 nucleotides) under uncultured Pseudomonas sp. RNAcentral describes it as "bacterial SSU rRNA". It matches the Rfam family "Bacterial small subunit ribosomal RNA", at positions 1028 to 1382 of the family's 1533-position model. Lineage: Bacteria; Pseudomonadati; Pseudomonadota; Gammaproteobacteria; Pseudomonadales; Pseudomonadaceae. The record is from RNAcentral.